GACGAACGCUGGCGGCGUGCUUAACACAUGCAAGUCGAACGGAAAGGCCCUGCUUUUGUGGGGUGCUCGAGUGGCGAACGGGUGAGUAACACGUGAGUAACCUGCCCUUGACUUUGGGAUAACUUCAGGAAACUGGGGCUAAUACCGGAUAGGAGCUCCUGCUGCAUGGUGGGGGUUGGAAAGUUUCGGCGGUUGGGGAUGGACUCGCGGCUUAUCAGCUUGUUGGUGGGGUAGUGGCUUACCAAGGCUUUGACGGGUAGCCGGCCUGAGAGGGUGACCGCCACAUUGGGACUGAGAUACGGCCCAGACUCCUACGGGAGGCAGCAGUGGGGAAUAUUGCACAAUGGGCGGAAGCCUGAUGCAGCAACGCCGCGUGCGGGAUGACGGCCUUCGAGUUGUAAACCGCUUUCGCCUGUGACGAAGCGUGAGUGACGGUAAUGGGUAAAGAAGCACCGGCUAACUACGUG
This 467-nucleotide ribosomal RNA is filed under the name uncultured bacterium. Its description in RNAcentral is "partial 16S ribosomal RNA". It matches the Rfam family "Bacterial small subunit ribosomal RNA", at positions 28 to 507 of the family's 1533-position model. The record is from RNAcentral.